Molecule: long non-coding RNA, 1737 nt
Organism: Cydia splendana
Lineage: Eukaryota; Metazoa; Arthropoda; Insecta; Lepidoptera; Tortricidae
Exons: 2
Source: RefSeq, a predicted model, not a curated record
AAUAAAUGUGUUUAGGAAAUAAUCAAAUGGAAAUUUAGCUAAAUGCAUUAUUGGAGGAACAAAACUUCGGAGAAUGAUAGGUUGUCGAAUGUUACUUAUGUUAUUACAUAUUUUACUCGACGGAAAGUACUGGACUGUUAAAUCCUAGAACUCUUAGAAUUCAAGAAGAGAUCAUAGAGCAAUCUUUAUUUAUUUUUUGGAUUUUAAAUUCAUGCGCAUUGAUCAGUGCUUACACAUACGAAGGUUAAAGCAGCUUGGUAUUUUUUUUUUACAAUUUAAAUAUACAUAUCUAAAAUACUCCACAAACAGUGGUUCAGUACAAAGUGUAUGUUUUUUAAAAUCAGCAGUACUAAGUAUAAAAUUUGUUUUUCAGUAGUACAGUUAACCUCAUAAAACGUGUUACAUUUCUUACAUCGUACUGAUAUAAAAUAAAAUAAACGUACACUUAAAUACAAUUGCGACUGUAAUGAAUUAGGGGUCAUGUUUCUGACCACAACUAGUCGAAUGUUUUUUUCUGAGAUAUUUUUUUUAUAUUUUACUUUUAUUUUACAACAAAAGUAAUAAUUUUCCAAUACUAUGUUACUCGUUACACUUUAGCAAAUUCGUCUCCAUUAAGUAAUAAAUUGAGAAUCUAACUCAGUUUUAUUUUAACUAUACCUCAAAAAUUACAAUAAUGAAUUGACGAUUUGUAAAGGAUAAACGUUGUACAGAUGUAGUGCAUAAUUAUUAUCCAUCGUAUUUUCACGAAAACGUACGAACGUGUCUUGUUAUAUCAAUCAGUUUCGGUACCUUCAAAAAGUAGGUUUAUGCGUCGUUGGACUAAAAGUAAAUAUGGCGAUGUAUAAAAAUGUCUACAUAUAAAAUAAAAAUUGGUCCGAGUAUUAGAAAGCCAAUACUUCAAAAUGUUUAAGUCUUAUCAAGUCGGAAUAUAAAAAUGACUACUUUCAAAGUAUACAAAUGUCUAAGUCUUAUCAAUGCCGCAACAUAUUUAUAUUUGGUCUAAUGUACAGAUGCACAUUUUUAUACUUCGUCGAAAUUAUAUACGCACGAACUUAUGCAAGUAGACAUUUUUAUACAUCGCCAUAUUUACUUUUAGUCCAACGACGCAUAAACCAAAAAGUACAGAGUUUGACUGAAGUAGCAUGACAAAUACGAACGUUUCCAAGAAUAUAAGAUGGAUAAUAAUUAUGCACUACAUCUGUGUCGACAUACAUAUAUUUAGGAAUCAAUAGUUCGGGAUUACCUGCGUAAGUAUAAUAAAACAAGUAAAUUAUUUGACUAUUAGAAUACUAGCCCAAGUUUUAAUCGAAUCACAUAUACCGCAAAAAACUGAUUUGUAAAGUGUUUAUUUAGUGGACGUCCUAUAGUAUAAUAUAAGCAAAUUUCUAGUUAAACAACAACAUUGAGUAGGCGAAAUCAAAUAUAUUAUGUCAACUUCGCUUAAUAAUUUAUUUUUAUUACUUGAAAAUGAGAAUAUUAUGUGUAAAAAAAUGUUUAUUUUUGUAGCUUUUUUGUACAUUAUUUUAUUUUUGUAUAAAACACGAUAAUACAUUUAAUACAUGCGUAUAUAACAUUAAGUAACAUGCUUAAACUAUUGCUUGUAUUGUACUAUAGCUGUCGGUCUAGUUUUAGUGUAAGGAUUUGUUAAACUUUGUCUAUGGCUUGCCUGUUUAUUUCGAUCCUUGGUCAUAGCUCAUAGUACAAAAUGUGUUAUUCAAUAUAUGAAUAUUUGGUUAC